UACGUAGGGGGCAAGCGUUGUCCGGAAUCAUUGGGCGUAAAGAGCGUGUAGGCGGCUUGGUAAGUCCGCUGUGAAAGUCCAGGGCUCAACCCUGGAAUGCCGGUGGAAACUGUCAAGCUUGAGUCCGGAAGAGGCGAGUGGAAUUCCUGGUGUAGCGGUGAAAUGCGUAGAGAUCAGGAAGAACACCCGUGGCGAAGGCGGCCCACUGGGCCGGUACUGACGCUGAGGCGCGAAGGCGUGGGGAGCGAACGGG
This 253-nucleotide ribosomal RNA is filed under the name uncultured bacterium. RNAcentral's name for it is "partial 16S ribosomal RNA". It matches the Rfam family "Bacterial small subunit ribosomal RNA", at positions 524 to 776 of the family's 1533-position model. The record is from RNAcentral.